AGAGCGAACGCUGGCGGCGUGCUUAACACAUGCAAGUCGAGUGCGCAGUAUCCUGUAGCAAUACAGGAUACCGGCGCACGGCGCACGGGUGAGUAACACGUGAAUAAUCUACCUCCGAGUGGGGAAUAACUGAGAGAAAUCUUAGCUAAUACCGCAUAAUACCCACGGGUCAAAGCAGCAAUGCGCUUGGAGAGGAGUUCGCGGCCGAUUAGUUAGUUGGCGGGGUAAUGGCCCACCAAGACGAUGAUCGGUA
Molecule: ribosomal RNA, 253 nt
Filed under: uncultured bacterium
Lineage: Bacteria
Description: partial small subunit ribosomal RNA
Rfam family: Bacterial small subunit ribosomal RNA
Source: RNAcentral